GACGAACGCUGGCGGCGUGCCUAAUACAUGCAAGUAGAACGCUGAAGGAGGAGCUUGCUUCUCUGGAUGAGUUGCGCACGGGUGAGUAACGCGUAGGUAACCUGCCUGGUAGCGGGGGAUAACUCUUGGAAACGAUAGCUAUUACCGCAUAAGAGUAGAUGUUGGAUGACAUUUACUUAAAAGAUGCAAUUGCGUCACUACCAGAUGGUCCUGCGUUGUAUUAGCUAGUUGGUGAGGUAACGGCUCACCACGGCAACGAUGCAUAGCCGACCGGAGAGGGGGAUCGGCCACACGGGAACUGGGACACGGUCCAGACUCCUACGGGAGGCAGCAGUAGGGAAUCUUCCGCAAUGGGCGAAAGCCUGACGGAGCAACGCCGCGUGAGUGAUGAAGGUCUGCGGAUCGUAAAACUCUGUUAUUAGGGAAGAACAUAUGUGGAAGUAACUGUGCACAUCUUGACGGUACCUAAUCAGAAAGCCACGGCUAACUACGUG
This 494-nucleotide ribosomal RNA is filed under the name uncultured bacterium. RNAcentral describes it as "partial 16S ribosomal RNA". It matches the Rfam family "Bacterial small subunit ribosomal RNA", at positions 28 to 507 of the family's 1533-position model. The record is from RNAcentral.